Molecule: ribosomal RNA, 393 nt
Filed under: uncultured bacterium
Lineage: Bacteria
Description: partial 16S ribosomal RNA
Rfam family: Bacterial small subunit ribosomal RNA
Source: RNAcentral
AUACGGAGGAUGCGAGCGUUAUCCGGAUUUAUUGGGUUUAAAGGGAGCGUAGGUGGGAUAUUAAGUCAGCUGUGAAAGUUUGGGGCUCAACCUUAAAAUUGCAAUUGAUACUGGUUUCCUUGAGUACGGUACAGGUGGGCGGAAUUCGUGGUGUAGCGGUGAAAUCCUUAGAUAUCACGAAGAACUCCGAUCGCGAAGGCAGCUCACCGGGCCGGAACUGACACUGAUGCUCGAAAGUGCGGGUAUCAAACAGGAUUAGAUACCCUGGUAGUCCGCACAGUAAACGAUGAAUACUCGCUGUUUGCGAUACACGGUAAGCGGCCAAGCGAAAGCGUUAAGUAUUCCACCUGGGGAGUACGCCGGCAACGGUGAAACUCAAAGGAAUUGACGGGG